Leptonychotes weddellii (Weddell seal) is the source of this 1052-nucleotide non-coding RNA. NCBI's taxonomy places the organism in Eukaryota, Metazoa, Chordata, Mammalia, Carnivora, Phocidae. The record is from RefSeq and is a predicted model, not a curated record.
CUAUCUCUGUCGCUGUCUAUCUCUCUCAAAUAAAUUUUUAAAAAUAUUCAUAUUUUAGAUUUACAAAACACUAAUGUAAAUCAUUAUGCUUUAGGAAUCUGUUCCAGAAAAAGAAAAAACAUUUUUUUUUUUUUUUUCAAAUCUGUACUAGGGAGGUCAUACAUAUAAUCUGACUUUGUGAAUGAGCUAACUUUCAUUGUUCCCAGAGGUAGGUUUCUAGUGUGGAAAUGGCAUCCAAAUAAUUUAAAUAUUUAGUUUUGGAGUUACUGUGUUGAGGUGGCAUAAAGUCAGCAUACCUUGAGUUCUGGAAAAAAAUUAAAGUGGUGUUUCCUGAAAUAUCCACAGGAACAUGGGGAAAUCACCUACAUGGUUUGUUUAUUUAUUUAUUUUUAGCUGUCAACAGUACUGCAUUCAAAUAAUUAACUCAGAGUUAAAUGAAUUGUUUUAUGUGCAUUUCUUCCCCUCUUCUUAACCUCUUGUACCUUUCAAGAUAUAGGGGAGUGAGUGUGAACAUUGGAAUCAGAAAUUUAUAGAUAUCCCAAGUCCUGUACUUCUAUAUGACUGAAGGCAUUUUUAAAAUAUUUAAUCAUUCAUGAGUUGAGCUUCAUUCUUGAGUCAUGGAUGACAAGGCUUCUGUUGGAAAAAUCAGUGUCUCCUCAGACUCAGUAUCUACUCUUAAUAGUGAAGAUUUUGUCUUGGUUUCCAGGCAAGGAGAUGAGACACCAUCUACAAAUAAUGGAAGUGAUGACGAGAAGACAGGACUCAAGUUGACUGUAUGAGAUUGAUCUUCUGGAGCAACUGUGGCUGGCAUCAACAGUAUAUAGAUGGUAUUUAAAGCUAUGGGAUUAGAUGAGAUCACCCACAGAGUGAGCAUAGAAACUGAAGAGUUGAGUGAAGAACUGAUUCUUGGAAUACUUCAACAUUGAGAGAUGGAGAUGAAGAGAAACCAGCAGAGAAGACUGAGAAGAUAUAAGUAGUGAGAUAUAAAGAAAACUAGGAGAUUGGAAUGCCUUGGAAGAGAGAUGAAGAAAGUGUUUCAAGAGAGCGGGAAU